CACGACUUCUCAAGAAGAGUGGUAUUUUACAAAAAAGAUCUUGCUCAGCCUUGUCUCCAGGAGCACAGCACAAACGAGUUUUUAACCUUGAUGAACCAGAAUCCGAUGUUUCCGAGCACAUUGAAGAAAUUAUAAGGGACAAUUGUACUUGGGCGGAAAUGGAAAGGCAUUGGGAUGCUUCAAAAAACUUUAGACUAUUUGAGAUCACAAAAGCCGAAUCAACAGUGGAUAUCCUAGCCAAAUGGAAGCAAUAUAAGAACCCGAUUGGCUUUAAAUUGAUCAAUAUGGAUUUCAAACCCCUAUAUCCUAAAGCUGAGAGUUUAUUAUUAAAAUAUGAUGAUUUUUCUGUAAAAAUUAUACCCAUUUUUGAAGACGAAAUAAAGGAUCCAACUAGUCGCCAGACCUUAAGCGAAAUGAUGAAUAAUGAAA
Long non-coding RNA from Eupeodes corollae, 429 nucleotides. RefSeq lists it as uncharacterized. Lineage: Eukaryota; Metazoa; Arthropoda; Insecta; Diptera; Syrphidae. The record is from RefSeq and is a predicted model, not a curated record. The transcript is spliced from 3 exons.